RNAcentral lists this ribosomal RNA (2418 nucleotides) under Triticum aestivum (bread wheat). RNAcentral's name for it is "partial small subunit ribosomal RNA". The record is from RNAcentral. Lineage: Eukaryota; Viridiplantae; Streptophyta; Magnoliopsida; Poales; Poaceae.
AUGGGACGCCGCACCCGCACGCACGCCGUCCAGGCGGCCGCGCUGCUGCUCGCCUUCCUCCAUCUGCACGUGGCCGCGGCCGCCGACCCGCCCUUUUCCUGCGGCGCGGCGUCGGGCGCGCCGUACUGCGACCGGAAGCUGCCGAUGGAGCGGCGGGCGGCGGACCUGGUGUCGAAGCUGUCGCUGGAGGAGAAGAUCUCGCAGCUGGGCGACGAGUCGCCGGCGGUGGCCCGGCUGGGUGUGCCGGCGUACAAGUGGUGGUCGGAGGCGCUGCACGGCGUGGCGUGGAGCAAGGGCAUGCACCUGGACGGCCCGCUCCGCGCCGCCACCAGCUUCCCGCAGGUCAUCCUCACCGCCGCGUCCUUCAACCCGCACCUCUGGUACAGGAUCGGCCAGGCGAUCGGCAGGGAGGCGCGGGGCGUGUACAACAACGGGCAGGCGGAGGGGCUGACCUUGUGGGCGCCCAACAUCAACGUGUUCCGGGACCCGCGGUGGGGCCGGGGCCAGGAGACCCCCGGCGAGGACCCGGCCAUGACGGGCAAGUACGCCGCCGUGUUCGUCCGCGGCGUGCAGGGCUACGGCAUGUCCGGCGCCAUCAACUCCUCCGACCUGGAGGCCUCCGCCUGCUGCAAGCACUUCGCCGCCUACGACCUCGACAACUGGAAGGGCGUCACCCGCUUCGCCUUCGACGCAAAGGUGACGGAGCAGGACCUGGCGGACACGUACAACCCGCCGUUCAAGAGCUGCGUGGAGGACGGCGGCGCCAGCGGCAUCAUGUGCUCCUACAACCGCGUCAAUGGCGUGCCCACCUGCGCCGACCACAACCUCCUCUCCAAGACCGCCAGAGGCGACUGGAGCUUCAACGGAUACAUCACGUCGGACUGCGACGCCGUGGCCAUCAUCCACGACGUCCAGGGGUAUGCCAAGGCGCCAGAGGAUGCGGUGGCAGAUGUCCUCAAGGCCGGUAUGGACGUGAACUGCGGCGGCUACAUCCAGACGCACGGCGUGUCGGCGUACCGGCAGGGCAAGAUCACGGGGGAGGACAUCGACAGGGCCCUCCGCAACCUCUUCGCCAUCCGGAUGAGGCUGGGCCUCUUCAACGGCAACCCCAAGUACAACCGCUACGGCAACAUCGGCGCCGACCAGGUGUGCAACAAGGAGCACCAGGACCUGGCCCUGCAGGCGGCGCAGGACGGCAUCGUCCUGCUCAAGAACCACGCCGGCGCGCUGCCCCUCUCCAAGUCCAAGCUCUCCUCCUCCUCCAUCGCCGUCAUCGGGCCCAACGGCAACAACGCGUCGCUGCUGCUCGGCAACUACUUCGGCCCGCCGUGCAUCUCCGUCACGCCGUUCCAGGCGCUGCAGGGGUACGUCAAGGACGCCCGGUUCGUCCAGGGGUGCAACGCCGCCGUGUGCAACGUGUCCGACAUCGGGGAGGCGGUGCACGCGGCCACCUCGGCGGACUACGUCGUGCUGUUCAUGGGGCUGGAUCAGGACCAGGAGAAGGAGGAGGUGGAUAGGCUGGACCUGGGGCUCCCCGGGAUGCAGGAGAGCCUUGUCAACAAGGUUGCCGACGCGGCCAAGAAGCCGGUGAUCUUGGUGCUGCUUUGCGGCGGACCGGUGGACGUGACGUUCGCCAAGAACAAUCCUAAGAUCGGCGCCAUUGUCUGGGCUGGUUACCCUGGCCAGGCCGGUGGCAUCGCCAUUGCCCAGGUCCUCUUCGGCGAGCACAACCCCGGUGAGAUUUUGUUUCACUCCGCUCUGAGCAAUUCUUGGCCGCGCGCUUUCCUAGGCUGUACUGUACUGACUGCUGGACAUGACGGAUCAUCAGGUGGGAGGCUGCCGGUGACAUGGUACCCCAAGGAGUUCACGGCGGUGCCCAUGACGGACAUGCGGAUGCGCGCCGACCCGUCCACGGGCUACCCGGGACGCACCUACAGGUUCUACAAGGGCAAGACCGUGUACAGCUUCGGCUACGGCCUGAGCUACUCCAAGUACUCCCACCGGUUCGCGUCCAGGGGCACGAAGCCGCCGUCCAUGAGCGGCAUCGGGGGCCUGAAGGCGACGGCGUCGGCGGCGGGCACGGUGAGCUACGACGUCGAGGAGAUGGGCGCGGAGGCGUGCGACAGGCUCCGGUUCCCGGCGGUGGUGAGGGUGCAGAACCACGGGCCCAUGGACGGGAGGCACCCGGUGCUGCUGUUCCUCCGGUGGUCGAACGCGACGGACGGGCGACCCGCGAGCCAGCUCAUCGGGUUCCAGAGCGUGCACCUCAAGGCGGAGGAGGCCGCGCACGUGGAGUUCGAGGUGAGCCCCUGCAAGCACUUGAGCAGGGCCGCGGAGGACGGCCGCAAGGUGAUCGACCAGGGGUCGCACUUCCUCAAGGUGGGCGACGACGAGUUCGAGUUGAGCUUCAUGGCCUGA